ACGUAGGUCACAAGCGUUGUCCGGAAUUACUGGGUGUAAAGGGAGCGCAGGCGGGAGAACAAGUUGGAAGUGAAAUCCAUGGGCUCAACCUAUGAACUGCUUUCAAAACUGUUUUUCUUGAGUAGUGCAGAGGUAGGCGGAAUUCCCGGUGUAGCGGUGGAAUGCGUAGAUAUCGGGAGGAACACCAGUGGCGAAGGCGGCCUACUGGGCACCAACUGACGCUGAGGCUCGAAAGUGUGGGUAGCAAACAG
Molecule: ribosomal RNA, 251 nt
Filed under: uncultured bacterium
Lineage: Bacteria
Description: partial 16S ribosomal RNA
Rfam family: Bacterial small subunit ribosomal RNA
Source: RNAcentral